Molecule: long non-coding RNA, 3248 nt
Organism: Myxocyprinus asiaticus (Chinese sucker)
Lineage: Eukaryota; Metazoa; Chordata; Actinopteri; Cypriniformes; Catostomidae
Exons: 2
Source: RefSeq, a predicted model, not a curated record
AAAUAAGUUUAAUUUAGAAUAACAAUAAGUUAGCGCCGCCCUGUAUCUGCUUGCAUCAUUGCAGACAGCUGGAGAUUUUGAGGAAGCUGCUCUGGGGAGAGCACGGCUGAUGAAGCUGCUUCUGUUGUGCCGUCUAAAAAGCCCUAAAACAGAAAAAUAGAUUAGAAAGGACAUAACUUAAAGUUGGAUUUCAGAGAUAAGAGACAGAGAUUUGGAAAUAGAAGUGUGGAUUGAACGUUGUCGAGUCAAACGAUCGUGCAUGAGUGCCAACACGGAUUCGACAACGGGAAAAAAAAAAAAAACUUCUUAAAACCGGAGUUUUUGCUGUUCAGGAAACUUUCUUUUAAUUUAAAUCAAGUUCUCUUGGUUGGGUUUUUUUUUUUUGGAACCCCUUUUUCCGAUUUUUCUUUUCUCUCUCUUUUUCUAUCUAUCUUCCCCGGAGUUGGAUGCUGAUCACAUUUUGCUCAAUAUUUGAUGAUUUCCAAAGAGGAUUCUGAACUCAUUGUCCCUGCCUCACGCUAGAAGGUGUCAAUGAGGUGCAGGAACUGGCGAGCCAUAACCAUAUAAGGACUGAACCUUGGAUCAGGAUCUGAAAAUCAACGGAGUGGUAGGAUUGUGCAUUUUCGCAUGAACUGUGUUGUUCAGAACUGAGUUACGUGAAAAGGACAAGAAUUCUGGGGAAGCAGUGUCACUACACUGACACUGAAUUGAAUGUAAUCUCAACUUAUAUUGAGACUGGUAUUGUAAAUGUCAAUUUGAUUUAAUGUGAUUAUCAUUUUUUUAUAUUUUAUUGUAUUUUGUUUUCUUUAAAAAAAAAUAUUUUUUGGUUGUUUUCAAAAGAGGACAAAGAACAUUUGAAAAGAGGUAUUUCAAGAGGUUACUAAUGAACAAUUAUAUUUAAUAAUUAGCAAAAUGGAAUCAAUAAACUAAUUAUGAAUAAGCUAAUUUCUAAAUUAUCUAAAUGAGAAAAUAAAGGUUAGUUAAAUUUAUUAAUUUGAGUUUAAAUAGGUCAAAAGGAAUUAAAAAUAGCCAAUAGUAGUUAAAAUAGGGAACUAAUUAAUAAUAAAUUACAAGAAAGGAUAUAUUUCAGAGUCUAAAUUGGGAGAAGUCAUUAUAGUCUCAUGUAUUAUGUUGUGAUGUUGUUUUAAUUUACUGUUUUGUUCUUCAGUACAUCUUACCUGUUUCUACUACAGCCAGUGUUGUCAUUUCCUUCCCCCUUUGUUGUCGAGCCUGUCUCUUGAGCCAAUUAAUCUCCUGAUAACUGGUCCAUAUCUGAAAUUAGUGCAUCCUCCUUGUGCUCACUUCCAUUGGUCGAAGGGUGCGAGAGAGGAUUGCACUCGCAUCACAGCACGGGUUACAUAUUACUCACCUGCAUGCCUAAAGAACACACUUUUUUAACAGUGUGUUCUUCAUAAAAUGCAGUACAUACUCGGGCAGUACGCAAAUUCGGAUGCAGCCACCCAUUACUUUUGUGAUUUAAUUUGGUGAUGCUAGUAGUGCAGAAACGACACACAUCACCUUCAACAUCAAUACACUCAUGCAGUAUACUUAAUGGAUUUUUGCUGCUGUUUAUAUGCUUUUGAAAUGCGAAUUACUUAGAUUUUUGGGUGUGAUUUGUCAAAUUACUAUACAGCAAUUUGUCUAAAAUUAUUAGAAACAAAUAUUCUUUGUUUGGUAACGAAUAUGACAAAAUUAACAAAGCACCAGUUUGGAGUGUGACUGUGAAUAUUUUUUUAAGUUUAUAUGAAUUUUAAUAGCUGUAAUGAAUACACUGACUGUAAGAUUUGACAUAUGAUAAAGAAGAAACUGUUUUUUAGUCAACAGUGUGUUUCCACUGGGAUGUUGGCAGAGAGAUUUUCCCACAAUCGUUUUUUAAUUGCUCUUUGAUCAGUCUCAUUCUUUCCAGUUUCUCUCUCUCCUUGCCUCUCUUUAACAUCUACAUUAUUACCACUUUUAAGUUUGCUAUUAGUUGCAAAACAACUGAUAUUUUGGCUUUAACAUAUCUCCCUGUUAUCUCAUUGAGAACCCUUGAAGACAAGCAAAAUGUCUGUGCUUUCCUUUCACUCAUACAUAAUAUCACCAUCUGCUCCAAACUAUAAGAAUCUAUAAAUAUUGAAAGUUCUUAUUUGCAGAUGAAUUUGCAGUAAUCAUCACUUAGUCCCACAUAUGAAAUUAAAUGGUGAUAUUCCUCCGUUACACAACGCAACGAAACGAACCGAAGGCCUCUCACUCAGAUGAAAGAAAUAAGGAAUGCUUCAUAAUUUAAUAACACUGAGAUCCUGAUGUUAAUGAGUUAUUAACAAGAUUUAUUUAACGAUUUUAGAAUUAUGCAGCAGGGUAAUGGGGCAUAUCUUAGGGAAAUUUGUACAUUAUUAUUAAGAUGUAAAUUGCAACCUAAAAAAAAAAAGCUAUUGAGGAGGGAGAUAAACGUAAUAUUUGUAGCUGUCUUACUUUCAAAUUCAACUACUGCAGAAAGUAUAAUUUUAAUGGGAUUGGUAGAAAGAAUCUAAUGAGUGAUUAAGGAACUAGUCUAGUCAUCCAAAAAGAGGGUAGAAAAGGUUAUUGGAUUGUUCCCCUUAAACGGCCUUUUAAUUUAAUGAAGCUGUCUGGAGUGCUAAAUUACACCCUCAUUUAUAAUCACCACUUGGAAGAGAAUGUCAAACACAGUAAGUUGCUUCUUUAGUUGAUUUAGUUUAUUUAUUUUGUUCAUUUUAGUUUGUUGCUGCAGUGUUUUGCAUGCUUUCUGUUGUUGUAGUAAAUUUAGUUUUAUUUUAUGCUUUUUUUGUAUAUACAUUUUUGUUUUUGUGUUUUUCUCUGCUUAAAGGUAAUUUGUUUUUAGGAACAAUACACUACUUAGAUGUUUUGGUUUUAUUGUAUUACAAUUUUUAUUUGUUUUAUUUUUUGUUGACUUCAUAUUAUUUAUUUAUUAUUUGUGUUUAUUGAUGCUUUCUUCUGAGAAGUAGUUUCUAUAUGCAAAAAAAAAAAAAAAAAACAACAACAAAAAAACAGGUGAAUAAUGAGGCCCUUCCAUGUUUUCCAUGGAAACCCUGAAAAAACUGUCAAGUUUCAAACUCUUUCAUACAUCUCAUGUGGGGUCUGCACUGCAGCUGUCAAAGAAGCACUUUAAACUGAGAUCUUUUAGCAGCACACAUUGUAUAUCCGGCAAAAUAAGCCAGUUUUGAGAGCUAUUUUCAAUGACACCAACUCAAAAGAGCACUGUGCUGAAUAAAUAAGAAUGCUGGAAACAA